This 1387-nucleotide long non-coding RNA is filed under the name Homo sapiens (human). RNAcentral describes it as "novel transcript". Lineage: Eukaryota; Metazoa; Chordata; Mammalia; Primates; Hominidae. The record is from RNAcentral.
AGGGCGAAGCCAUGUCAGAAAUAAUAGAAAAGGCUUUUUCCUUUGAAAUAUCUAAACGUUCAAAGAUGGGAACAGCCGCAGGGGGGAGAAUACUGUGCUAUGCAAGUUGAUCUGAUUUUGUGGACCAUCCAUUUCCAAUUGGGAAGCUCACUUACUUUCAACUUGAAGCAUCAGAAAACCAGACUUACAGCAGCUUCAGCCUAUAGGGGUUUAUUUUUCUCAUGUAACAAGAAGAACAGAAGUGGACAGAGGCCGAGUUCUCAAGGACUCAGUUUCUUUCUGUCCCACCAACCUUACCAUGUUGGAUUGUCAUCUUUGUGCUUGUUGCCUCAUGAUGGCAAGAUGGCUGCAGCACCUCUGGGACUCACGACUGAUUUUUAAGACUACAGAGCCUAAGUCAAAGCUUGUUCUUGGACCCAGGAAAUAUGUCAAAUCCUUCCAGUGAAUGGGAGACAGUGGAAUCUGUAGGAGGUUCCAGACCCAGCGACGACCAAGCCUGGGUGGUUCUGACACCAAGAACAAAACGCCUGCAAGAUCCACACUGGGAACUCAACCAAGAAGAAAGAAAAGAACAAACAAGAUCAAUUUCUUCCCCACAGGAGCCAGAAUUUUCCUAAGUCUCUACGAAUGUUCAGAGACAUCUUUAUCUCUUGCAGGAACUCUACCUCCUCUCCUGUCUCACCUCCUCCUGAAAAAAGAGACAAAGUCCCACUCCCAUCAAAACACCUCUGAGGUGUCAGCUUCAAAUGAUUUAUGAAUUACUUCUCCCAGCCUGGGUUAGCUUCAAAACUGGGAAUGGGUCAGGGUGUCAGCAUGGGAAGAACCUUUAAGAAUGUCAGGCUUUUAGAGCCUCAAAGCCACAAAUCUCUCAAAUGGUGCCCUCUCCAACCCUGGGCACUAGGUCCGAUGAGCAGGGGAUGGAGGCAUAUUUGGACAGGGGCCUGCAUCUGAGACCAGCCCCUGAUACCAAACCAAAUGUGUCUCUUGUAUUUUUAACUGCAAGCUCCCACCACCCUGAGUGAGUUUUUCCCAAAGCAGUGGUGUCACAAGCAGCCAUUCAGUUGGCCUUUGCAGUCAUGCUGACCCAGGGGUACUUGGUCUUCAUCGGAUUCUCAGUCUAAGCAUCAAUCCUCUGACAGAGGGACCUACCCCAGGCACUUCCAGCUCAGCAGAAAGCACCCUGAGCUAAUAAAGGAAGAUAUAAUUUAGAGGUCAUGCCCCAAAGCCAGCUAUUUCUGACUGCAGAUCCAGCUCCAACUAAAGCCAAGCCAAAAAUUAACAUUAUUUUGCAUUUUAAACAACUUACUAGUCUUUCAAAGGGUACUGAUUGGUGAACAGCAAUUUACAAUGAAGUAAUCAGUUGCAAACUACCAAUAAUUGCUAUCAC